Molecule: long non-coding RNA, 1514 nt
Organism: Lolium perenne
Lineage: Eukaryota; Viridiplantae; Streptophyta; Magnoliopsida; Poales; Poaceae
Source: RefSeq, a predicted model, not a curated record
UCUAACGGAUCCGGUAACUACCGGUGUCCAUCUGCCCGUGCGUUGGUUGGUUGCGAUGCGUGCUGGCCGAAGCGGUAUACUGAUUUUUUAUUGAGUAUUGCCCUGACACAAGCUGCGCUACUGAUACAAUACGUAUCUACUGGUGGCCCUUAGAGCUGCUUCUUCUCCGGCUUGCUCUCUCUCCCAUGAUUUAUCUCCUGUACUGGAUCGAGAUCCACUAAAUAAGCAGCGGCGAGGCGGCGCGGCGAGGCAGUUGGCGAGGCUUCGACGAGGUGGCGAUCAGGGACGGCGUCCUCCAUACAGACUUUGUCGGCCAGAACGGUGGUGCCGUACAAGAGCACCACCUCCUAGCGCAGCUACUCACCGGCGUGUGUUGACUUUGGUCUCCUCCGCUGAUUCCCCUUCGUCGCCGCUGCGUUACGCUCCAGCCCUAGCCGCUGAUUGGAACGCCGGCGUGGCUUCGGCUACCCUUAUGCAUCGAUUGCACGGCUCCCCGGUUAGAUUUCCCGUCGAACUACACCUAAUCCUGGACUCCCAGGUCACCAUGGCGCUCCUGAUUCGGGUCUCCUUCUGCACAACUUCCCCGUGGACGUCCCCCAGCUCAUGGCUGUUGUAUCUUUGUGUGUGGUUGCCGGAUGUGUGUUUGGAGGAGCUCUGUCUCCUCAGAUUUAGGGGAGUUUCUGGCCACUCAUAUUACAAGAAGUCACUGCAUCACCUCCAAUUUUAUUUUUCUUGGUACAUCGUAUCCAAUUUCUGCUACUAGCCUACUACAAUACUGUUGUAGAUUUCCCUUUAUUUUGUUGUUUGAUUUCCUUGCAGUAGAUUCAAUUGUUUUGUCUUAUCCGGUAGCAAUCUUUCAUCCCACAUCCUGUAGUAGUCUGUUUCUGAUUUCUUUGAUAUACACAUUCAGUUGAUCUGCUCCUAAUAGAACAGUGCACUGAAUUUCUGGUGUGGAUCAGCAGGUUAUGAAAUAUUGAUGGCAGGAUUAGUACGCUAGACAAGUGAUGAUAUACUGUUGGCAUCUUCUCUUCCGUAUGCUACUUCCAGAUGACCUUCUAGACGAGAGCCACCGGAGGACGACGAAGCAGCGGCCGCCACCAUGCUCAGAUUCGAGUGCUCACCCUGGGCUACGGCCAGGACGGCCGCGCCGUGCAUGAGCAAGGGAUCGCUCACGAGUUUGGACCUGCAGCGCAGCGCCUCGGCCUCCUCGUCGAGAGCCGCCGGAGGAAGACGAGCCGAGGCGGCCGCCGCCACCUUGUUCAUGUGCGGGCUAGGUUUGGGAUUCGCUUCCCUGAUGUAGGAAUUGUUUUCUCUCAAUUUGAUGAGGAUGCAGAUCUGAAGAUUGAUAUAGGUGUUUGCUAUUUCUUGUCCGAUCUGAAAGUCAGUCGUCUAUCCCGUGUGAUUUCUAAAUCAUCCAAUUCUCUCUAGUUUAAUUUUUCUCCUACUUUUUUUUAUAAUGGCCCAGAUUGAGAAAUUCUUGUUAAAAUCCAUCAAAAAAAUCCAGAUUUGAAGAA